Molecule: non-coding RNA, 93 nt
Organism: Mycena vulgaris
Lineage: Eukaryota; Fungi; Basidiomycota; Agaricomycetes; Agaricales; Mycenaceae
Source: the annotation of a GenBank genome assembly
GCAUUGGUGGGGUAGUGGUAACCUGGGUCGUUGCCAUUUUCGAAUCUUGUGAUCGGAUUCGACCCGCCGGGGGUUCGAUUCCCUCCCAAUGCA